UACGUAGGGUGCAAGCGUUGUCCGGAAUUAUUGGGCGUAAAGAGCUCGUAGGCGGCUUGUCGCGUCGAAUGUGAAAACCCGGGGCUCAACCCCGGGCCUGCAUUCGAUACGGGCAGACUAGAGUUCGGUAGGGGAGUCUGGAAUUCCUGGUGUAGCGGUGAAAUGCACAGAUAUCAGGAGGAACACCGGUGGCGAAGGCGGGACUCUGGGCCGAUACUGACGCUGAGGAGCGAAAGCGUGGGGAGCAAACAGG
This 253-nucleotide ribosomal RNA is filed under the name uncultured bacterium. Its description in RNAcentral is "partial 16S ribosomal RNA". It matches the Rfam family "Bacterial small subunit ribosomal RNA", at positions 524 to 776 of the family's 1533-position model. The record is from RNAcentral.